This 253-nucleotide ribosomal RNA is filed under the name uncultured bacterium. RNAcentral's name for it is "partial 16S ribosomal RNA". It matches the Rfam family "Bacterial small subunit ribosomal RNA", at positions 524 to 776 of the family's 1533-position model. The record is from RNAcentral.
UACGUAGGGACCAAGCGUUGUCCGGAUUUACUGGGCGUAAAGGGCGCGUAGGCGGCUUGACAAGUCACUUGUGAAAUCUCCGGGCUUAACUCGGAACGGCCAAGUGAAACUGUCAUGCUAGAGUGCAGAAGGGGCAAUCGGAAUUCUUGGUGUAGCGGUGAAAUGCGUAGAUAUCAAGAGGAACACCUGAGGUGAAGACGGGUUGCUGGGCUGACACUGACGCUGAGGCGCGAAAGCCAGGGGAGCAAACGGG